Molecule: long non-coding RNA, 328 nt
Filed under: Gossypium raimondii (Peruvian cotton)
Lineage: Eukaryota; Viridiplantae; Streptophyta; Magnoliopsida; Malvales; Malvaceae
Description: long non-coding RNA (GRAI_LNC008593)
Source: RNAcentral
CCCUAACCCUAACCUAUUUUACAUGAAAACCCUAACCCUAACAUAUUUUAAUUAAAAUCCCUAACCUAACUUAAUUUAAUUAAAACCCCUAACCCUAACCUAUUUUACAUGAAAACCCUAACCCUAACAUAUUUUAAUUUAAAUCCCUAACCUAACUUAAUUAAAAACCCUAACCUAACUUAAUUUAAUUAAAAACCCUAACCCUAACCUAUUUUACAUGAAAACCCUAACCCUAACAUAUUUUAAUUUAAAUCCCUAACCUAACUUAAUUAAAAACCCUAACCUAACUUAAUUUAAUUAAAAACCCUAACCCUAACCUAUUUUACAU